GCCGGGCAUGGUGGCUUGUGCCUGUAAUCCCAGCACUUUGGGAGGCUGAGGUAGAAGGAUCGCUUGAGCCCAGGAAUUCAAGGCUGCAGUGAGCGACAGUCAUCCCACUGCACUCCAGCCUGGGCAACAGAGUGAGACCCUGUCUCUAAAGAAAAUUAAAAUAGGUGGCUGGGUGUGGUGGCUCACGCCUGUAAUCCCAGCACUUUGGGAGGCUGAGGUGGGUGAAUCACCUGAGGUCAGGAGUUUGAGACCAGCCUGGGCAACACGGUGAAGCCCCGUCUCU
This 283-nucleotide small RNA is filed under the name Aotus nancymaae (Ma's night monkey). Its description in RNAcentral is "Metazoan signal recognition particle RNA (ENSANAG00000008621.1)". The stretch from base 1 to 148 matches the Rfam family "Metazoan signal recognition particle RNA". From Rfam's summary of the family: The signal recognition particle (SRP) is a universally conserved ribonucleoprotein. It is involved in the co-translational targeting of proteins to membranes. The record is from RNAcentral. Lineage: Eukaryota; Metazoa; Chordata; Mammalia; Primates; Aotidae.